CAAGACAACUUUACGGAGUUGACGAUUGACGGAGCGAAGCGACGUCAAAGCGUUCAUUAAAGUCGAGUUGGCUUAGGGAUACGUUCGUUGGGUAGGGGAGCGUUCUGUAAGCCUGUGAAGGUGUGUCGUGAGGCAUGCUGGAGGUAUCAGAAGUGCGAAUGCUGACAUAAGUAACGAUAAAGCGGGUGAAAAGCCCGCUCGCCGGAAGACCAAGGGUUCCUGUCCAACGUUAAUCGGGGCAGGGUGAGUCGACCCCUAAGGCGAGGCCGAAAGGCGUAGUCGAUGGGAAACGGGUUAAUAUUCCCGUACUUGGUGUUACUGCGAAGGGGGGACGGAGAAGGCUAUGUUGGCCGGGCGACGGUUGUCCCGGUUUAAGCGUGUAGGUGUGUGUUCCAGGUAAAUCCGGUUCACUUUAACACUGAGGCGUGACGACGAGGCACUACGGUGCUGAAGCAACAAAUGCCCUGCUUCCAGGAAAAGCCUCUAAGCAUCAGGUAACACGAAAUCGUACCCCAAACCGACACAGGUGGUCAGGUAGAGAAUACCAAGGCGCUUGAGAGAACUCGGGUGAAGGAACUAGGCAAAAUGGUGCCGUAACUUCGGGAGAAGGCACGCUGACACGUAGGUGAAGUGAUUUACUCAUGGAGCUGAAGUCAGUCGAAGAUACCAGCUGGCUGCAAC
Molecule: ribosomal RNA, 681 nt
Filed under: Salmonella enterica
Lineage: Bacteria; Pseudomonadati; Pseudomonadota; Gammaproteobacteria; Enterobacterales; Enterobacteriaceae
Description: partial 23S ribosomal RNA
Rfam family: Bacterial large subunit ribosomal RNA
Source: RNAcentral